RNAcentral lists this ribosomal RNA (322 nucleotides) under uncultured eukaryote. Its description in RNAcentral is "partial 18S ribosomal RNA". It matches the Rfam family "Eukaryotic small subunit ribosomal RNA", at positions 1470 to 1796 of the family's 1831-position model. The record is from RNAcentral.
CCCUUAGAUGUUCUGGGCCGCACGCGUGCUACACUGAGUGGAUCAGCGGGUCAGGUUGCGCGAAAGUGUUUCCUAAUCUUUAAAUCCGCUCGUGAUGGGGAUUGACGGUUGCAAUUUUCCGUCAUGAACGAGGAAUACCUUGUAAGCGCGGGUCAUCAUCCCGCGCUGAAUACGUCCCUGCCCUUUGUACACACCGCCCGUCGCUCCUACCGAUUGAGUGGUCCGGUGAGGCUUUGGGAUCUGAGCGGAAAGAGCGUUUCGCUGUUUCUGCCCGGACAACUCAGUCGAACCUUAUCAUUUAGAGGAAGGAGAAGUCGUAACA